CGUUGAUACGGUGUUCUUCGUCUCUUGGCUAGCAUUUCCUCACUUCCCCAGCUUUCCUUAGAGUGUGGCAGAAUUUGAGCAUGCGGCAACGAUGCAGCAGUUUCAGAGCUUCAGUUGGCAACAUGCGUCGUCGUCGCCUUGCCCAGUAAACUCGAAAGGCUCGUUGCAACCGAAAAGCCCAACUAGGGCCCGUUUCGAUCCAACCAGAUCGUGCGUGCACUCGCACGAGCCGCACCACCAGCAGCCCGGCGCCUCCGCCAUCCAGAUUCUAGACCCAUCAUCUUCUCCGCUCCGCCAUCCAAAUUCCAGAACCAUCAUCUCCUCCGCUCCGCCGCCAUCCGCUGCAGCAGUGCAGCACCCUCACCCGCCUCCGCGGCUCGCCGCACGAUGGAUCGCUAUGAGGAGCACGACGGGAACACCUUCUGGGGUGCCAGCACGCAGCCCACCAAUCCCUCCGCCAUGGAUUUCUUCGGCGCGCCGGCUACCAUUCCCGGCUUCACCGCGGCGGCUUCCUCCCCCGGCAGCCGUGGCGUCCCUCUUCAACGCGGAUCCGCCAGAGUGGAGGUGCUGGACCUCAACUCCCUACCCUCCGACCUCCAUCUGGGGAUGCCCUACGGCGAGCGGUUCCGUUCUGCGUCGGCCGGAGCGGUUGGGGAGGUAGACGUCGCCGGUGGUCCCCGAGGCGCCGUUCCUUCUCGCGCUGCCAGCGCAGCCCGUGCCGCUACGCCGAUCCGCGCCGGGUCGGGCGGCGCUCCUGCUGGCACGGCGGCGAGGCUGCACCGCGCUCUUCGACCAGCCAGAGUGGCAGGAGGACCUCCCGUUGGUGGGCGUGGUGGCGCUGGUGGAAGCGCAGGCGUUGCGGCUGGUGGCCCAUACGACGAUGAUGGUGCUCUUACUCAGGAAUCCCAGGGCCAUCCUGAGUGGAAAAAACUGCAGUCCGGUUGGCCUAUUUACCUUGACGAGUUGAACCGCAUGUUCAUGGGUGUUGCCGUUGAUGGGUCGAGUUCAUAUGUGCCUGGAGAUGAGGAUCCUGUGGACGUCACCCCAAAUGAUGAAGAGGAAGAUUCAGAGGACGAUCAUGGCCUCCAGACCCCGCAGAGCACAGGAAGCAAGAGGACACGCGACAGCUCGCAAAGCCUACGCAGUACUGCUACGAGCCCCAACAAGUAGACGAAGAGCCCCGCAGUCCGAGCCAUGGUGUCCCAAAUGCAGCUGCACAACGAGAUACAAACCCAAAGGAAUGCAGCCAUGGAAGGUUUCAUGGCGAAGAGGCUGCAGGUGAAGCAGGCCGAGGAAGCAAAGAUGGAGAAACAGUUUGACACCAUAAUGGAAGCGGCAAGGGACUGUGGUGUCACCGAGGACAAUGCGCAGCUGUGGAUUGGUGUGCUCAAGAUUGCUCAGGACAAGGGUGCAUCUUACUUUUUCCUGCGCUCCCUUCCGCAUGGAAGGAAGGCUCUUAUUGAGCACUACGCUAGGGAAGGGGUUCAUUGCUCAGAAGAGGGAAACGAAGCUGCAGAUUCAGAUGAGGAGUUUGAAAACUUCAUGAUAACACAAUUCAUGGAUGAUUCUGCAGACAUUGGUUUCAUUUACGGUGUUUGGUGCUGCAGUCAAAUACUAUCUGGUGGACUCGGGGUACCCGAACCGACCGGGUUACUUGGCUCCUUACAAGGGUAGCAAGUACCAUCUCCAAGAGUUUCAAAACGCCAACGAACCUCAGGGUAAAGAGGAGAUGUUCAACUACGCACAUUCGUCCCUUAGAAAUGUCGUAGAAAGAUCAUUUGGAGUUUUAAAGCACAAGUGGCGCAUGCUCACCAAAAUACCCUGUUAUCCAGUACAAACACAAACACAUAUUAUUGUUGCGUGCAUGGCUCUGCAUAAUUUCAUCAGGCAGAGUGGGUUUAGGGAUAAAGACUUUAGACGCUGUGAUAGUGAUGAUAACUAUGUGCCUGAUGAAGCCUAUGAAGAUCAGCCAGAAUGCGAGCCUACCCCCAGUUAUUUGGAAUGUCCACAUAUGAAUGGCUUUCGUGAUACAAUUGCGCUCCAUAUGUUGCAUCGAGGUUCAGCUGUGACGGGACUUUUACUUUUUAUUACUUUUUAUUGUAAUUUGUGAGGACGUGUACUGCUGCGGCUUUUUAAUUUCGAGUUGUGGUUGUCUUGAAAAACUGUUGUUGUACUGUUAUGCAUAUAUAUGUUUUGUGUCAA
RNA transcript from Panicum hallii, 2202 nucleotides. It is a transcript of the gene named elastin-like, with no coding region annotated. The record is from RefSeq and is a predicted model, not a curated record. The transcript has 4 exons. NCBI's taxonomy places the organism in Eukaryota, Viridiplantae, Streptophyta, Magnoliopsida, Poales, Poaceae.